Molecule: ribosomal RNA, 497 nt
Filed under: uncultured bacterium
Lineage: Bacteria
Description: partial 16S ribosomal RNA
Rfam family: Bacterial small subunit ribosomal RNA
Source: RNAcentral
GAUGAACGCUGGCGGCGUGCCUAAUACAUGCAAGUCGAGCGAACGGACGAGAAGCUUGCUUCUCUGAUGUUAGCGGCGGACGGGUGAGUAACACGUGGAUAACCUACCUAUAAGACUGGGAUAACUUCGGGAAACCGGAGCUAAUACCGGAUAAUAUUUUGAACCGCAUGGUUCAAAAGUGAAAGACGGUCUUGCUGUCACUUAUAGAUGGAUCCGCGCUGCAUUAGCUAGUUGGUAAGGUAACGGCUUACCAAGGCAACGAUGCAUAGCCGACCUGAGAGGGUGAUAGGCCACACUGGAACUGAGACACGGUCCAGACUCCUACGAGAGGCAGCAGAAGGGAAUCUUCCGCAAAGGGCGAAAGCCUGACGGAGCAACGCCGCGUGAGUGAUGAAGGUCUUCGGAUCGUAAAACUCUCUUAUUAGGGAAGAACAUAUGUGUAAGUAACUGUGCACAUCUUGACGGUACCUAAUCAGAAAGCAACGGCUAACUACGUG